GGCGCAUUCGGCAAGUGGUUAAGCCACAAGGCUUUCAACCUUGGAACGGCGGGUUCGAUUCCCCAUGCGUCA
This 72-nucleotide transfer RNA is filed under the name Paenibacillus sp. P26. Its description in RNAcentral is "tRNA-Glu". It matches the Rfam family "tRNA". Rfam says of the family: Transfer RNA (tRNA) molecules are approximately 80 nucleotides in length. RNAcentral also lists the same sequence under 1 other name. The record is from RNAcentral. Lineage: Bacteria; Bacillati; Bacillota; Bacilli; Caryophanales; Paenibacillaceae.